GACGAACGCUGGCGGCGUGCUUAACACAUGCAAGUCGAACGGAAAGGCCCUGCUUUUGUGGGGUGCUCGAGUGGCGAACGGGUGAGUAACACGUGAGUAACCUGCCCUUUGCUUUGGGAUAACUUCAGGAAACUGGGGCUAAUACCGGCUAGGAGCUCCUGCUGCAUGGUGGGGGUUGGAAAGUUUCGGCGGUUGGGGAUGGACUCGGGGCUUAUCAGCUUGUUGGUGGGGUAGUGGCUUACCAAGGCUUUGAAGGGUAGCCGGCCUGAGAGGGUGACCGGCCACAAUGGGACUGAGAUACGGCCCAGACUCCUACGGGAGGCAGCAGUGGGGAAUAUUGCACAAUGGGCGGAAGCCUGAUGCAGCAACGCCGCGUGCGGGAUGACGGCCUUCGUGUUGUAAACCGCUUUCGCCUGUGACGAAGCGUGAGUGACGGUAAUGGGUAAAGAAGCACCGGCUAACUACGUG
This 468-nucleotide ribosomal RNA is filed under the name uncultured bacterium. RNAcentral describes it as "partial 16S ribosomal RNA". It matches the Rfam family "Bacterial small subunit ribosomal RNA", at positions 28 to 507 of the family's 1533-position model. The record is from RNAcentral.